GGAGUGGUACUCAAGAGGUCGAAGAGGGCGCACUGCUAACGCGUUAGGACUGUAACAGGUCGCGAGGGUUCAAAUCCCUCCCGCUCCGCCA
RNAcentral lists this transfer RNA (91 nucleotides) under Acholeplasmataceae bacterium. RNAcentral's name for it is "tRNA-Ser". It matches the Rfam family "tRNA". From Rfam's summary of the family: Transfer RNA (tRNA) molecules are approximately 80 nucleotides in length. The record is from RNAcentral. Lineage: Bacteria; Bacillati; Mycoplasmatota; Mollicutes; Acholeplasmatales; Acholeplasmataceae.